Molecule: unclassified non-coding RNA, 241 nt
Filed under: fungal sp.
Lineage: Eukaryota; Fungi
Description: partial internal transcribed spacer region
Rfam family: Eukaryotic small subunit ribosomal RNA (bases 1-46)
Source: RNAcentral
AAGUCGUAACAAGGUUUCCGUAGGUGAACCUGCGGAAGGAUCAUUAACUGACUGGUUGGUGGGGUGGGUGUAGGUGUCUAUCCACUCUACUGGUGUGGUAUGGAUGGGCACGCCUCGCUCUCACUACAAUAGACGCAAGACAGCUAUUGCAGUUGUCUUGAUGUUCACGCUUGUACAUGUUUGACAAAUAGAUGGAUAGAUGGAUGUAUGAUAACUUUUAACAAUGGAUCUCUUGGCUCUU